AGAAGGUUGAAAAUGUUCAUAGUGAAGAGAAGCAUAGAAGAAAACGAAAACGUACCGUAAUGAAUGAAAAGCAGAUCUCAGUAAUUGAGAGAGCUCUCUUGGAUGAACCUGAAAUGCAGAGAAAUCCAGCUUCGAUCCAAUUUUGGGCUGAUGAAUUAAUCCGUUAUGGUUCUGAGGUUGCAUCAUCUCAACUUAAAAAUUGGCUGAACAAUAGGAAAGCGAGGCUAGCACGCACAGCUAGGGAUAGCCGUGUAACCUUAGAAGCUGACAGUGCAAUUCCAGAUAAGCAAGGGGGCCCGGCAGCUGGAUCCUGUGACUCACCUGAUAGCCCAUGUGAAGAUAAACAUGUACCUAAUACUGGAAGGGAUCGAAGAACGACAUCAAGAACUAAUACGGCCAACAAUUCUAAGAAUUCAACCACGGAGUUCAGUGACAUUGGCCCAACAGAAUUUGUUCACUGCAAACCAGGGCAGUAUGUCAUUCUUGUAGAUGUGCUCGGG
This 500-nucleotide unclassified non-coding RNA is filed under the name Hevea brasiliensis (rubber tree). Lineage: Eukaryota; Viridiplantae; Streptophyta; Magnoliopsida; Malpighiales; Euphorbiaceae. The record is from RNAcentral.